This 1229-nucleotide ribosomal RNA is filed under the name metagenome. RNAcentral's name for it is "bacterial LSU rRNA". It matches the Rfam family "Bacterial large subunit ribosomal RNA", at positions 1579 to 2818 of the family's 2925-position model. The record is from RNAcentral.
AAGGCGUCGAAGUAGUGUAUGUCAUACUUCCAAGAAAAGCUUGCACUGUCAUAGAUAAAAAACGCCUGUACCAUAACCGACACAGGUGGGUAGGUAGAGUAUACUAAGGGGCGCGAGAUAACUCUCUCUAAGGAACUCGGCAAAAUAACUCCGUAACUUCGGGAGAAGGAGUGCCUUAUUCUUAAGGUUGCAAUAACAAGAUCCAAGCAACUGUUUAUCAAAAACACAGGUCUCCGCUAAGUCGUAAGACGAUGUAUGGGGGCUGACGCCUGCCCAGUGCCAGAAGGUUAAAGAAGCUGGUUAGCAUUUGCGAAGCUAGUAACUGAAGCCCUGGUGAACGGCGGCCGUAACAAUAACGGUCCUAAGGUAGCGAAAUUCCUUGUCGGGUAAGUUCCGACCCGCACGAGAGGCGUAAUGAUUUGGAUACUGUCUCGGAGAGGGGCUCGGUGAAAUAGACUUGUCUGUGAAGAUGCGGACUACCUGCACCAGGACAGAAAGACCCUAUGAAGCUUUACUGUAACUUGAAAUUGAAAUUGGACUUUAUUCGCGCAGUAUAGGUGGGAGGCGUUGAUUAUAAUCUUGCGGGAUUAUUGGAGCCAUUAGUGAGAUACCACUCUUGUAAUGUUAGAUUUCUAACUUUGAAUCAUUAUCUGGUCAAAGAACAGUUUCAGGCGGGCAGUUUGACUGGGGCGGUCGCCUCCUAAACGGUAACGGAGGCGUACAAAGGUUUCCUCUGAACGGUUAGAAAUCGUAUCUAGAGUGUAAAGGCAUAAGGAAGCUUGACUGUGAGACCUACAAGUCGAGCAGGGACGAAAGUCGGUCUUAGUGAUCUGACGGUACUGAGUGGAAAGGCCGUCACUCAACGGAUAAAAGUUACUCUAGGAUAACAGGCCGAUCUCCCCCAAGAGUUCACAUCGACGGGGAGGUUUGGCACCUCGAUGUCGGCUCAUCGCAUCCUGGGGCGGUAGUACGUCCCAAGGGUUGGGCUGUUCGCCCAUGAAAGCGGUACGCGAGCUGGGUUCAGAACGUCGUGAGACAGUUCGGUCCAUAUCCGGUGUAGGCGUUAGAAUAUUGAGAGGAGCCUUCUUUAGUACGAGAGGACCGAGAAGGACAUACCUCUGGUGUACCAGUUAUCGUGCCAACGGUAAACGCUGGGUAGCUAUGUAUGGAGUGGAUAACCGCUGAAAGUAUCUAAGUGGGAAGCCCACCUCAAGAUAAGUAUUCUCAGC